AGUAAUGUCUGGGAAACUGCCUGAUGGAGGGGGAUAACUACUGGAAACGGUAGCUAAUACCGCAUAACGUCGCAAGACCAAAGUGGGGGACCUUCGGGCCUCAUGCCAUCAGAUGUGCCCAGAUGGGAUUAGCUAGUAGGUGGGGUAACGGCUCACCUAGGCGACGAUCCCUAGCUGGUCUGAGAGGAUGACCAGCCACACUGGGACUGAGACACGGUCCAG
This 222-nucleotide ribosomal RNA is filed under the name uncultured bacterium. RNAcentral describes it as "partial 16S ribosomal RNA". It matches the Rfam family "Bacterial small subunit ribosomal RNA", at positions 109 to 334 of the family's 1533-position model. The record is from RNAcentral.